Fundulus heteroclitus (mummichog) is the source of this 218-nucleotide long non-coding RNA. RefSeq lists it as uncharacterized. The record is from RefSeq and is a predicted model, not a curated record. The transcript has 3 exons. Lineage: Eukaryota; Metazoa; Chordata; Actinopteri; Cyprinodontiformes; Fundulidae.
CACUGGAAGCCUUUUUUUUUCAUUUUGGCGAAGGGGCCACAGAGGAGGACAUGAUGGCCGGUGGCUGCACAGAAAUAAGCAGUGGCUGGGAUGACCAUUCACUCAGAACUGAGGGGAAUCUAACAAUCAGUUAUGGGAGAUGGGAAGCAUCCAGCAUGCUGUGGUAGAACCAGAAAUCACAGAGGGACUCUGCCUGCCUCAUAUUGACAGUGGACUGC